Cyanistes caeruleus (blue tit) is the source of this 342-nucleotide non-coding RNA. The record is from RefSeq and is a predicted model, not a curated record. Lineage: Eukaryota; Metazoa; Chordata; Aves; Passeriformes; Paridae.
AAAAAAUGCCUGGGGAGGAAAAAUACAUGGGCUGACCACAUGGCCUGGAAAAGAAAAUGCUGACUGGUCCAUUUUAUCUCCAGGAAGGUGAAGAGGAAUUCACUUGCUAAGAAGAGGUGAGCAAGAGAUACAGUGAGAGCAUCAACCUUAACUCUGAAUACCAGGUACACUCCUGAUUGACUUAAGGGACAGACCAGAAGAAACCUUUUAAGCAGAGCCAUGGAAGAACAACCUCCAGUGUGGCAAGGUGUGUGCAUGUUAAGCAUUACUCCUCACUUUUGGUUUUCUUAAGGAUCUGCCUUCAUGGAAAAUGGAUGUGACCCGUGCUACAUAGCCCUGUCC